UACGGAGGGUCCAAGCGUUAUCCGGAAUCAUUGGGUUUAAAGGGUCCGUAGGCGGUUUUGUAAGUCAGUGGUGAAAGCCCAUCGCUCAACGGUGGAACGGCCAUUGAUACUGCAAGACUUGAAUUAUUGGGAAGCAACUAGAAUAUGUAGUGUAGCGGUGAAAUGCUUAGAUAUUACAUGGAAUACCAAUUGCGAAGGCAGGUUGCUACCAAUACAUUGACGCUGAUGGACGAAAGCGUGGGGAGCGAACGAGG
RNAcentral lists this ribosomal RNA (254 nucleotides) under uncultured bacterium. RNAcentral's name for it is "partial 16S ribosomal RNA". It matches the Rfam family "Bacterial small subunit ribosomal RNA", at positions 524 to 777 of the family's 1533-position model. The record is from RNAcentral.